UGUUUGUUUUAGAUUAUGGAGUGCCUUUUUUGGUUUUCAUGCAUGCCUCAGCUUCAUAUGAUCAUAAAAUUCCGUAGGUUGAUCAAUAUAUAUGAUGAAACCCUACUCUCUCACAACAAUGUGAGAAUAACAACACUCCAGAUAUGCAUAUCCUUUAUCUUUCUUGUAUGUAGUUACAUGUCAAAUUUCUUCGUUCUUUGAUUCAUUACACUCAAUUCAGGUAUGGUUUGCACCAAUUCAAGAGACUGUACAUUAGGCAUUCAAUAUAUAAGACUGGAGUGAGACUGAUUCGGCAUUUAAAUGUGUUGUACGAUGUUGUUUGAAUUGCUUGUCCUAAUAGGUGCACAAGUUGGGAUGGAUUGGACUUUUACCUUGAGAAAAUGCCAUAAUUUCAUAAAUCGUCACCAACUUCACAAAAAGACAAAUAGCAUCAGUGGCCACAGAUUGCAACC
Molecule: long non-coding RNA, 452 nt
Organism: Magnolia sinica
Lineage: Eukaryota; Viridiplantae; Streptophyta; Magnoliopsida; Magnoliales; Magnoliaceae
Exons: 2
Source: RefSeq, a predicted model, not a curated record